UACGUAGGGUGCAAGCGUUAAUCGGAAUUACUGGGCGUAAAGCGUGCGCAGGCGGUUGUGCAAGACAGAUGUGAAAUCCCCGGGCUUAACCUGGGAACUGCAUUUGUGACUGCACGGCUAGAGUACGGCAGAGGGGGAUGGAAUUCCGCGUGUAGCAGUGAAAUGCGUAGAUAUGCGGAGGAACACCGAUGGCGAAGGCAGUCCCCUGGGCCUGUACUGACGCUCAUGCACGAAAGCGUGGGGAGCAAACAGG
RNAcentral lists this ribosomal RNA (253 nucleotides) under uncultured bacterium. RNAcentral describes it as "partial 16S ribosomal RNA". It matches the Rfam family "Bacterial small subunit ribosomal RNA", at positions 524 to 776 of the family's 1533-position model. The record is from RNAcentral.